Molecule: transfer RNA, 94 nt
Filed under: Candidatus Coprosoma intestinipullorum
Lineage: Bacteria; Bacillati; Bacillota
Description: tRNA-Ser
Rfam family: tRNA
About the family: Transfer RNA (tRNA) molecules are approximately 80 nucleotides in length. Their secondary structure includes four short double-helical elements and three loops (D, anti-codon, and T loops). Further hydrogen bonds mediate the characteristic L-shaped molecular structure. tRNAs have two regions of fundamental functional importance: the anti-codon, which is responsible for specific mRNA codon recognition, and the 3' end, to which the tRNAs corresponding amino acid is attached (by aminoacyl-tRNA synthetases). tRNAs cope with the degeneracy of the genetic code in two manners: having more than one tRNA (with a specific anti-codon) for a particular amino acid; and 'wobble' base-pairing, i.e. permitting non-standard base-pairing at the 3rd anti-codon position.
Source: RNAcentral
GGAGUAGUACUCAAGUAGGCUGAAGAGGCGCCCCUGCUAAGGGUGUAGAUCGGGUUAAACUGGUGCGAGGGUUCGAAUCCCUCCUACUCCGCCA